This 497-nucleotide ribosomal RNA is filed under the name uncultured bacterium. Its description in RNAcentral is "partial 16S ribosomal RNA". It matches the Rfam family "Bacterial small subunit ribosomal RNA", at positions 28 to 507 of the family's 1533-position model. The record is from RNAcentral.
GAUGAACGCUGGCGGCGUGCCUAAUACAUGCAAGUCGAGCGAACAGACGAGGAGCUUGCUCCUUUGACGUUAGCGGCGGACGGGUGAGUAACACGUUGGUAACCUACCUAUAAGACUGGGAUAACUUCGGGAAACCGGAGCUAAUACCGGAUAAUAUUUCGAACCGCAUGGUUCGAUAGUGAAAGAUGGCUUUGCUAUCACUUAUAGAUGGACCUGCGCCGUAUUAGCUAGUUGGUAAGGUAACGGCUUACCAAGGCAACGAUACGUAGCCGACCUGAGAGGGUGAUCGGCCACACUGGAACUGAGACACGGUCCAGACUCCUACGGGAGGCAGCAGUAGGGAAUCUUCCGCAAUGGGCGAAAGCCUGACGGAGCAACGCCGCGUGAGUGAUGAAGGUCUUCGGAUCGUAAAACUCUGUUAUUAGGGAAGAACAAACGUGUAAGUAACUGUGCACGUCUUGACGGUACCUAAUCAGAAAGCCACGGCUAACUACGUG